Molecule: non-coding RNA, 85 nt
Organism: Felis catus (domestic cat)
Lineage: Eukaryota; Metazoa; Chordata; Mammalia; Carnivora; Felidae
Source: Rfam
GCCUGGGUGGCUCAGUCGGUUAAGCCUCUGACUUCAGCUCAGGUCACGAUCUCGCGGUCCGUGAGUUCGAGCCCCGCGUCAGGCU